Molecule: ribosomal RNA, 402 nt
Filed under: uncultured bacterium
Lineage: Bacteria
Description: bacterial SSU rRNA
Rfam family: Bacterial small subunit ribosomal RNA
Source: RNAcentral
UAUUGGACAAUGGGGGGAACCCUGAUCCAGCCAUGCCGCGUGUGUGAAGAAGGCCUUAUGGUUGUAAAGCACUUUAAGCGAGGAGGAGGGUACUGGUAUUAAUACUACCAGCUACUGGACGUUACUCGCAGAAUAAGCACCGGCUAACUCUGUGCCAGCAGCCGCGGUAAUACAGAGGGUGCGAGCGUUAAUCGGAUUUACUGGGCGUAAAGCGUGCGUAGGCGGCUAAUUGAGUCGGAUGUGAAAUCCCCGAGCUUAACUUGGGAAUUGCAUUCGAUACUGGUUAGCUAGAGUGUGGGAGAGGAUGGUAGAAUUCCAGGUGUAGCGGUGAAAUGCGUAGAGAUCUGGAGGAAUACCGAUGGCGAAGGCAGCCAUCUGGCCUAACACUACGCUGAGUACGAA